GAGGUUAUAUCUGUUCGAGUCGCCGUUUUAAUUCUAAGGCAUUGCCUUGUGUUGAUAUUCCUGAAUAAAGGUUUAUCAAAAUAUAUUGGCGUCAUUUUUGACGGGAAUUACAGCGAAAUGUAAUGAAAAUUAAAAAUGACCGCCUAUUUUCACUUCUAAAACAUGGCCUCGGAUCAGAUAGGGAUACCCGCUGAACUUAA
This 200-nucleotide unclassified non-coding RNA is filed under the name soil metagenome. RNAcentral describes it as "partial contains internal transcribed spacer 2 and large subunit ribosomal RNA". The record is from RNAcentral.